This 587-nucleotide ribosomal RNA is filed under the name Trichoderma harzianum. RNAcentral's name for it is "eukaryotic LSU rRNA". The stretch from base 213 to 366 matches the Rfam family "5.8S ribosomal RNA". The record is from RNAcentral. Lineage: Eukaryota; Fungi; Ascomycota; Sordariomycetes; Hypocreales; Hypocreaceae.
AGGGAUCAUUACCGAGUUUACAACUCCCAAACCCAAUGUGAACGUUACCAAACUGUUGCCUCGGCGGGAUCUCUGCCCCGGGUGCGUCGCAGCCCCGGACCAAGGCGCCCGCCGGAGGACCAACCAAAACUCUUAUUGUAUACCCCCUCGCGGGUUUUUUUAUAAUCUGAGCCUUCUCGGCGCCUCUCGUAGGCGUUUCGAAAAUGAAUCAAAACUUUCAACAACGGAUCUCUUGGUUCUGGCAUCGAUGAAGAACGCAGCGAAAUGCGAUAAGUAAUGUGAAUUGCAGAAUUCAGUGAAUCAUCGAAUCUUUGAACGCACAUUGCGCCCGCCAGUAUUCUGGCGGGCAUGCCUGUCCGAGCGUCAUUUCAACCCUCGAACCCCUCCGGGGGGUCGGCGUUGGGGAUCGGCCCUGCCUCUUGGCGGUGGCCGUCUCCGAAAUACAGUGGCGGUCUCGCCGCAGCCUCUCCUGCGCAGUAGUUUGCACACUCGCAUCGGGAGCGCGGCGCGUCCACAGCCGUUAAACACCCAACUUCUGAAAUGUUGACCUCGGAUCAGGUAGGAAUACCCGCUGAACUUAAGCAUAU